RNAcentral lists this long non-coding RNA (2792 nucleotides) under Salmo salar (Atlantic salmon). RNAcentral describes it as "lncRNA (ENSSSAG00000101874.1)". Lineage: Eukaryota; Metazoa; Chordata; Actinopteri; Salmoniformes; Salmonidae. The record is from RNAcentral.
CUCUGGCCUGCUGGCCCCCCUACCUCUGAGGAAGCACAGUUCCCGCUCAGCCCAGUCAAAACUGUUCGCUGCUCUGGCACCCCAAUGGUGGAACAAGCUCCCUCACGACGCCAGGACAGCGGAGUCAAUCACCACCUUCCGGAGACACCUGAAACCCCACCUCUUUAAGGAAUACCUAGGAUAGGAUAAAUCCUCCCGGUUCUGACGUUUUGCCUGACCUGACACUGAGCCUGCCUGCCUGACCAUUCUGCCUGCCCCUAACCUCGAGCCUGCCUGCCGCCCAGUACCAUUUGGACUCUGACCUAGUUAUGAACUCUUGCCUGUCCUGGACCUUCCUCUUGCCUGCCCCUUGUUGUUCAAUAAAUAUCAGAGACUCUAACCAUCUGCCUCCUGUGUCUGCAUCUGGUUCUCGCCUUGUGUCGUUAUAGUACGAACUGGCCAUCACUGACCCAGCAGACUCAGACCACCUCAGUCACGCUGUCUCCCUGCAGGGAGCCACCACUAAAAAACAUGAGGAGCUACUUCAGAAUCUUAUGGAAAGGUUCCAAUCUCUGGUGAAACGCCACCCCCAGUGCUUCAAGGCGUUAAUGGAGCAGUUCCGUGAAUUAUCUCACAGGCAGCAUAUCAUGUCUGAAACCUCCCAGCCACUCAGUAAUCCACCUACCAGAGGUGGGUUUGUUCAGGCUACCCCGGCUCCCUGAAAACCCUGUUUACCACCUCCGGAGCGAUAUGCUGAGGAUCCUGGAACCUGCCAGGCGUUUCUUUCCCAGUGCUCCCUUAUUUUUGAGCUACAGCCAUCUUUGUUCCUUUCAGAUCGGUCGAAGAUAGCGUGUCUUAUUAUGCUAAUGUCUGGAAGGGUGCUUUCCUGGGCUACUGCUGUUUGGGAGCAACAACCCACCGUUUGCUAUAAUCUGGAAGAUUUCAUGGCGGAGGUGAGGAAGGUGUUUGAUUCUCCGGUGCCCAGGAGAGAGGCGGCCGGAAAACUACUGAAAUGACAUCAGAACUCCCGUAGUGUGGUAGACUACGUAGUAGUCAGAUUUUCGCACAUUGGCCACCGAGAGUGCCUGGAAUACGGAGGUCCCGUUCGAUACCUUCCUUCACAGACUAUCAGAGGAGAUAAAAGAUGAGCUAAUAGCUCGGGAGUUACCUUUGGACCUCGAUUCCCUCAUCGCCCUUACCAUUAGGAUUGAUGGGCAUCUACGGGAACGCAGGAGUGAGAGGAGGUCGGGUCUUGGUCACACUCGUUCAUCCGCUGCUGCUUGCUUACCUCCGAAGGAAUCCGGAAGUCCCCGAAGGCUGCAUUUCCGAGAAGAUCCGAAGCCAACCGAGUUUUCUCGAGAAUCAUCAGCGACGGGUGAGUCGGACACACUGGAGCCUAUACAACUGGGCAGAGCUAGAUUAUCGCAUAGGGAGUGUUCACAUAGGCUGAGCUCCAACUGUUGUCUGUAUUGUGGUUCUGCGGGACAUUACAUAGCUACCUGUCCAGUAAAGAGACCUGACUCAUUAGUAGGUACGAGUACACAAAUGGGAAUUCUCUAGUUUCCGUUACCUUUACUCCCUUUUUUGUGAUCCCGAUGUGGGGAGACCAGUCUAAGUCCCUCCGGGUGCUCAUUGACUCUGGGGCAGAUGAGAGUUUUAUGGACGCUACCCUGGUAUCGGAACUAGGUAUCCCCACUCAACUCCUCUCCAUUCCCAUGGAUGCUAGGGCACUGGACGGCCAGUCCAUUGGAAGAGUUACGCACAGCACAGUUCCCAUUAAUCUGCGGGUAUCUGGUGUCAUGACGUUGGCCUCUUUUGGUACAGGGAGGACAGUUGACCCCUCCCUUUUGCACACAAUCCACCCUGUGUGUAAAGGGUCGUAAAAACUCUAAAAUUCCAGGAGAGUCUCUGGCCACAUGGCCCAUAGAGAGACACAGGAAAUUCUUCCAACUCAUAGAAUUGGAGAGCCAAGUGACAUUUUGUGUUCUGGAGAAGGUAUGGAAGAUUGGUGAAGAAUCCAGCUACGAACUGAUCCGCUUGGUACCAUUUUGUGAUACUCAGAAGAGACAAUAUAGCCAUAUUACCAUAAAACUGUUUAUAUAAUAGACUCAGUUUAAGACUUGCAUCAUAUGGGUGUAUGGAAUGUAUUAAUAAGGAUAAAGCUUUUGUAAGACAUUGAGAUGCUAUGUACUGAUGUAAUGUGAUAUAAUUGUAUUUCUGUAACCAAAUCUAACUCAGUCAUAGGCACGCCCCCAGGGACCCAUACAGGACCAGGCGUCAUUUGACAAGCUGUUCUAUGGGCACUAUAAAACACCCCCGGAUUUACAUUUCUUCAGACCAGGCCUACACUCCGUUGGCUAAUAGGUUUUACCUUCCAAUUCCUCUACUGAAAGUGAACCAUACCACGUGGUUAACUUCUAGACUAUCGAUACUGACAGAAUAAGAACAAGUCUUUGAUAUUAAUUAUUAGUCUGCAGCUAAGUAAAUUAUAUCAUUGAACGCGAAGACCAACGAAACAACCAUUCGAUGACGACAUUAAUGAAUGUCGCUCUGAAAGAUCCAUUCUAACCGAGAGAGAGAGAGAGAACGCGGACAAAACUUCCCAACAGAACCGAACUCUCCAACAAAGAACGACGACACACUGAGCGUAAAUAUAUAUUGAUUGCAAUUGUUCCCGAAUGAGUGAGCCUUCAAUUGUCAAUUGUUAAUAUUAAUGAACUCUGUGUAACUGCCACAGCUGACCGUUUAUGAUCCAUUGUUCAACAGGCCGACCUGCCUGUUUAGCCAACAAGGGCACAUUCCGAUACCAAUCC